Molecule: non-coding RNA, 2178 nt
Organism: Miniopterus natalensis
Lineage: Eukaryota; Metazoa; Chordata; Mammalia; Chiroptera; Miniopteridae
Source: RefSeq, a predicted model, not a curated record
GUACAUAGGUCUUGAGGACAUGGCUGUCCUCUGUGAGCCGACUUGGAAUUCCAGAUGUGGGAGUUAGGCUCUGUAAUGAGGCAGACCUAAAUAUGAAUCCCAGCCCUUGCUCAAGUUAACAAGUUUGAGCUUCAGUUCUCAACUACAGAAUGGGUUGCAUGGAGUUGUGAGGCUGGGAGUAGUGGAUGUAGACUCUUUAGUAGGUUUCUGGCAUAGAGUGUGCUUUCAACAAAUGGAAGCAAUUAUUCGUAAUAUCAUUUUUGGCUCCCAAAUCACUGUAUUAGUUUUAUGUAUUUAUAUUCUGUCCCCAGAAUAUUUAAGACCACCAAGUUUAUUGAGUUACAGGGAUGUAAGUAAUUUUAUUGAUGAAUUUUUUAAAACCUAUCCUGAUCCUUUACAAUUGACUUUAUUCAUCUAUAUCUUUCUAUUGAGCAUUGAGACUGAGUCCCUCGUGUUCACAGCAGUAGCCCCAGCCCCUAGCACAGUGACUAGUAGUACUCAAUAAAUGUUUCCUGAAUUAAUGAACCUAAUACUUUCUCCCAUUCUCUUUUAGAGGCCACAAGAAGAAAAAUAUCCUGUGGGACCAUGGCUGUUGGCACUGUUUGUUUUUGUUGUCUGUGGCUCAGGACCCCAGAUCCACAUUGAAGCCCAAAGGAUCUAAACACCCUCCUUUUAUAAGAACAUUAUCUUCCAUUUCUGCAGACAAGGGGGCCUUUCUCCAGAUAAGCAGCGCAUCCCAGCUCUCUCAGUCCCCGGUUUCAAAACCUGCCUUUUUGGAGAACUGUUUAAUAGCUUCUGAAGAGUUCUUGCUUUAUCUCGAGACUCAAAGACAAGCAAGCAUGACCCGAAAUGUCUGUCUGAGACAGCGAAGAUGCUGUCACACAGAUCUGCCGACUGCUAUCUUCACAAGACACUUGCAGGCUUGACGCCACCUCCCAGGACCAUUGAUGAAGGCAGUCCCCACUGUUUGUGCUCAGAGCCCUUGCCCCUGGGUUCUUCUCCCCUUUAUCUUCAACUCUUUUAAAAGCCUAUUGAGAACGAUUCUGAGGCCACACCAAAGCUCUGUGGGAAAGUGUGCUGCAGUUGAUUGCCAAUGUCUGUCAUGAACAGGGAAUUAACAGCAGGGUCCCAUGCUCAUCUUCACUGUCCUGGUCUAACCUUUUUAUAAGAAAAGGUGCACUGUCCAGAGAUUCCAGAUGUGCAGCCAUCCUGGGUCUGCUCCCAGAUGGAUAACACCUUUACCAAGUCAUGGCUGCUUUUGGAUUGGGCCACCGGGUGCCCAUCACCUUACCUUUUUCUGGACACGUGCUCCAGGACAGAUUUGAAUUCACCAUGUUUGCAGGUCGACCACAUAAACAUUGGCCUUUCCUGAAGACCACUAGAACAUUCCUGAACUUGUGACACCCAGAGGGAGUCACUCCCCCAGCACUGACAAGUGCGAAGUUUGAGGCACAGAGCAGCCCAGAGAAGCUCUUCUAUUUCACCGCAGAGAAAAGAUGGAAAACAGGCAUCUACUCUGGAGCUCCUGCCUUGAGAUCUGAGAUGGACAAUCUGGAAAAGAUCUCAUCAGCCAUUGGCUCCAGCAAGAAUAAAUCUGUAGUGUGGAGAAAGGAUUGAAGAGUUGCAGGAGGAGACCAGUUUUGGAGGUCAUCACAGGCACCUGGAGAAAGAUGCUGGUCACUUGGACAAAGGUGGUUUCUGGAGGGAUGGAGAGAAGGGUGCAUAAUCACAAGAUUCUUAGCUAUCUUUCAGAUCAUUCAGAGCAUAAGGAUGGGCAUGUGAGAAGGCCCGGGAUUUGACACUGCCCCUCCCGCUGGAGGGUGGAGGACCUCUUAAGCUCUUAGCCCGGUAUCUGUGGGAAGCAAACAGGCCGCACAGAAUAGGAAAAAAUGGCUCCCACAGUUGCUCCCUGAUCACUUCAUCGUGGAUGUCAGACCAAAUUGCCUUCUCACAGGACAUCUUGGUACAUCCGUGUUCUGAAGUGGAAAAGACAUUUUGCUUUUCUGGUGGCAGGAUCAGUAGCUCCCGGGCGUCUGCAGCAGCGCUCUCUGGUUUUUCUUUUGGUUUCAGGAAUGUAUGCAUGUAGCCCUCUGAAUGAUCACUGGUUUACUUUCUAUGGAUACAAUCUCUCCUCCAUUGGGAACCGGUUUUACAAAUAAAUGUCUUUGUUCAACCUUA